CAUAGUCUUAAUCAAUAGCUGAAUUCAUAAGCCAAAUCAAUAACAUCUAAAGCCUGCUCAGUGCGGUUUCAAGCUGGUCUCCUGCAGGACUGGAUGAAAGAACGACUCAAUUUUCACUGCACUAGGUACCUAUCGAUGCCGACAUUGUUGGACUAUAGGAGGAGCAUUGGCUUCUAGCUGCAUCCCAGCUCGCUCUCAGAAAAGGUCAGGACCCAAGAUACUGCCUUUUGCCUGAGAACCAGAGCUUAAAAAGCACUUUCUUGGGUGUUCAUCGGCCCCAACCUUCCAGACUUUCCUCCUGGACUCCAGUUGAAGAUCUACAAAGCACUGCUACAAUAAUCAGCCUCACACAGAGAGCAUCUCAAAUGUGUAGAACCCUGGAAAUGGAGUUUCUCAGUUGAAGGAAAUAGGCAUUAAAAAUGAGCCCAAGUGUGUACUCACGUCCCAGGCUGUGUAAACGCCACGUCUACAAGUCACCCAUUUUCUGCUGAGUUGGGAGUAUUGUUUGAUUUGCGGGAGCUUUUUAUGGAUUAAAGAAAUUUCAAAUUGUAUUUUAUCUAGUAUAAUGCUUUGUACCUGGCAGAGUCAACAAAUGAAAAAUAGGCACCGAUGAAGUCCACGAAAGGCCUGAACUCAGGGAUGACAGGAGAGGAGACAGAGCUGCUGAGGGAGAGUCAGGGACACAACACAGCCAGCGGUGCGGGCAGAACAAUCAGAAAACGGGCAAGCGGCGCGGGACAGCACUUAGUUACCUGGUGCACACAGGGCCUGGGUUUGAUCCCCAGUGCCACAAAACAGACCAAAUACUUAAACAGAUGGGAAAAUAUCCAUAGGGGAAGGAUUUUUUUUUCAGUAGUGAGGAUUGAACCCAGAACCUCAUGCUGAAUAGG
This is a long non-coding RNA of Heterocephalus glaber (naked mole-rat), 890 nucleotides long. RefSeq lists it as uncharacterized. Lineage: Eukaryota; Metazoa; Chordata; Mammalia; Rodentia; Bathyergidae. The record is from RefSeq and is a predicted model, not a curated record.